GAUGAACGCUGGCGGCGUGCCUAAUACAUGCAAGUCGAGCGAACAGAUGAGGAGCUUGCUCCUCUGACGUUAUCGGCGGACGGGUGAGUAACACGUGGAUAACCUACCUAUAAGACUGGGAUAACUACGGGAAACCGGAGCUAAUACCGGAUAAUAUAUUGAACCGCAUGGUUCAAUAGUGAAAGACGGUUUUGCUGUCACUUAUAGAUGGAUCCGCGCCGCAUUAGCUAGUUGGUAAGGUAACGGCUUACCAAGGCAACGAUGGGUAGCCGACCCGAGAGGGUGAACGGCCACACUGGAACUGAGACUCGGCCCAGACUCCGACGGGAGGCAGCAGUAGGGAAUCUUACGCAAGGGGCGAAAGCCUGACGGAGCAACGCCGCGUGAGUGAUGAAGGUCUUCGGCUCGUAAAACUCUGUUAUUAGGGAAGAACAAAUGUGUAAGUAACUAUGCACGUCUUGACGGUACCUAAUCAGAAAGCCACGGCUAACUACGUG
Molecule: ribosomal RNA, 497 nt
Filed under: uncultured bacterium
Lineage: Bacteria
Description: partial 16S ribosomal RNA
Rfam family: Bacterial small subunit ribosomal RNA
Source: RNAcentral